RNAcentral lists this ribosomal RNA (568 nucleotides) under Agromyces sp. CM02. RNAcentral's name for it is "bacterial SSU rRNA". It matches the Rfam family "Bacterial small subunit ribosomal RNA", at positions 77 to 657 of the family's 1533-position model. The record is from RNAcentral. Lineage: Bacteria; Bacillati; Actinomycetota; Actinomycetes; Micrococcales; Microbacteriaceae.
UGCUUGCACUUGGGGAUUAGUGGCGAACGGGUGAGUAACACGUGAGUAACCUGCCCUGGACUCUGGGAUAACCCCGAGAAAUCGGAGCUAAUACCGGAUAGGACCCUUCACCGCAUGGUGCGGGGUGGAAAGUUUUUCGGUCUGGGAUGGACUCGCGGCCUAUCAGCUUGUUGGUGAGGUAAUGGCUCACCAAGGCGUCGACGGGUAGCCGGCCUGAGAGGGUGACCGGCCACACUGGGACUGAGACACGGCCCAGACUCCUACGGGAGGCAGCAGUGGGGAAUAUUGCACAAUGGGCGAAAGCCUGAUGCAGCAACGCCGCGUGCGGGAUGACGGCCUUCGGGUUGUAAACCGCUUUUAGUAAGGAAGAAGCCGCAAGGUGACGGUACUUGCAGAAAAAGGACCGGCUAACUACGUGCCAGCAGCCGCGGUAAUACGUAGGGUCCGAGCGUUGUCCGGAAUUAUUGGGCGUAAAGAGCUCGUAGGCGGUUUGUCGCGUCUGCUGUGAAAACUAGAGGCUCAACCUCUAGCCUGCAGUGGGUACGGGCAGACUUGAGUGGUGUAGGGG